ACCCGUAUUCAAAAGGGAAACAGCCCAGACCGCCGACUAAGGUCCCGAAUGCUGUACUAAGUGGAAAAGGAUGUAGGACUUCCAAAACAACCAGGAUGUUGGCUCAGAAGCAGCCACCAUUCAAAGAGUGCGUAAUAGCUCACUGGUCGAGAGGCCCUGCGCCGAAAAUAUCCGGGGCUCAAGUACAGAACCGAAGUCGCGGCAUGCGGAGUGUCAUCUACAGAGUAACUGAGAGGGCAGAUGCGAAGGAUUCAGUGUCAGAUGCGAGGAAGAGGAGCGAGUCAUAGCGGUGGUUAUGGCGAGUGACGAUGACGACGCAGAUGGCAGUGAAGACGAGCAGAUGCACUCAGGUGUUCUGUAGAUGACACACCCAUGGGUAGGGGAGCGUUCCAAGUUGGUUGAAGGCGGACCGUAAGGACAGCUGGACGACUUGGAAGUGAGAAUGCUGGUAUGAGUAGCGAAACGAUCCGUGAGAAUCGGAUCCACCGAAAGCCUAAGGGAUCCUGAGCAACGCUCGUCGACUCAGGGUAAGUCGGGACCUAAGCCGAGGCAUAAAGCAUAGGCGAUGGACAACAGGCGAAAAUUCCUGUACUGCAUGAUGUUGUUUGAGGAUGGAGUGACACAGCAAGGAGCUUGAGCGCGCGAUUGGAAAUGCGCGUCGAAGGCGGUAGGCUGAUGUAGAGGCAAAUCCCUGCAUCAAGGCCGAGAACUGAUAGAUAGGAGCGUACUUCGGUACAAUCCAAAUUCAAGCGUACUACACUGUCGAGAAAAGCUUCUAACGAGACAUCAUGUACCCGUACCAAAACCGACACAGGUAGGCGGGGAGAGAAUCCUAAGGUGCGCGGGAAAACCCUCGUUAAGGAACUCGGCAAAAUGCAUCCGUAACUUCGGGAGAAGGAUGGCCGGAGCUGGUGAAGACCUUCGCGGUUGGAGCUGGAGCCGGCGGCAGAAGAGAAGCCCAAGCGACUGUUUACCACAAACACAGGUGCCUGCUAAAGAGAAAUCUGACGUAUAGGUGCUGACACCUGCCCGGUGCUGGAAGGUUAAGAGGAGAUGUCAUCGCAAGAGAAGCAUUGAAUUGAAGCCCCAGUAAACGGCGGCCGUAACUAUAACGGUCCUAAGGUAGCGAAAUUCCUUGUCGGGUAAGUUCCGACCCGCACGAAAGGUGUAACGAUUUGGGCACUGUCUCAACGAGGGACCCGGUGAAAUUGAAAUACCUGUGAAGAUGCAGGUUACCCGCGACUGGACAGAAAGACCCCAUGGAGCUUUACUGCAGCCUGACAUUGAUUUUUGGCAUGUAACGUACAGGAUAGUUGGGAGACGGAGAAGAUAGGCCCCCAGGCUUAUCAGAGUCGCUGUUGGGAUACCAACCUUUAUGUGCUAGGGAUCUAACUCGAGAAGUAACGAAGCUGAGGACAGUAUCAGGUGGGCAGUUUGACUGGGGCGGUCGCCUCCGAAAGAGUAACGGAGGCGUCCAAAGGUUCCCUCAGCGCGGACAGAAAUCGCGCGAAGAGUAUAAAGGCAGAAGGGAGCUUGACUGCGAGACAUACAGGUCGAGCAGGUACGAAAGUAGGGCUUAGUGAUCCGGUGGAAUGAGAGUGGAAUUGCCAUCGCUCAACGGAUAAAAGCUACCCUGGGGAUAACAGGCUAAUCUCUCCCAAGAGUCCAUAUCGACGGGGAGGUUUGGCACCUCGAUGUCGGCUCAUCACAUCCUGGGGCUGAAGCAGGUCCCAAGGGUUGGGCUGUUCGCCCAUUAAAGUGGUACGUGAGCUGGGUUCAGAACGUCGUGAGACAGUUCGGUCCAUAUCCAUCGCGGGCGCAAGAUACAUGAGGGAGACUGCUCCUAGUACGAGAGGACCGGAGUGGACGGACCGCCGGUGUACCAGUUGUUUCGCCAGAAGCACAGCUGGGUAGCUGCGUCCGGAAGGGAUAAACGCUGAAAGCAUCUAAGCGUGAAGCCCGUCCCGAGAUGAAGUAUCUCAUAGCACAAGCUAGUAAGACACCUUGA
RNAcentral lists this ribosomal RNA (2008 nucleotides) under human gut metagenome. RNAcentral describes it as "bacterial LSU rRNA". It matches the Rfam family "Bacterial large subunit ribosomal RNA", at positions 1003 to 2841 of the family's 2925-position model. The record is from RNAcentral.